GUUUGCACUACUGGAAGCAAAAGCACAGAGGAAUCAACACCAUCUUCAACUGGUGGGACAGGUUUCCUUGCUGUGCUCCUCUGAUGGAUGUGCAAGAUCAAGGAAUAUUCGGCAGGAGGGCGAGAGGGAGAGAAGUCUACCGGGGAGAUGUACAUUACUAGAAAUAGCUUCGAGAAAUGCUGGCAAUGUGAAGAGAGUGAACCAUGGAGCUGACCCUUUACAAUGAAAGUAGAAGCUUCAGGGCUGUUCACUGAGGCGGAGAGACACCUGACCUCUGAGGCUAUUUCCCUACGAGAAUGAGACACAAGCCAGAAUAAACACUCAGCAAAGAUGACACGACCCAGGUUUUCUCACGCAAGCUGUGUCUUGCCUCAACAGAGCUUACCUCUUCCCCACCACUUCCUUAAGGAAUGGAAGAGUAAAGAGAAGAUGAAAUACUGUGUCCUCAAGCAGAAACUAAGAGUGGAAAUGAAACUGGAUUUGCACACGGAGGAAAGAAGUUCCUGUCGUGGCAAAUCCGACUAGGAACCAUGAGGCUGC
This is a long non-coding RNA of Phacochoerus africanus (Common warthog), 540 nucleotides long. RefSeq lists it as uncharacterized. Lineage: Eukaryota; Metazoa; Chordata; Mammalia; Artiodactyla; Suidae. The transcript is spliced from 3 exons. The record is from RefSeq and is a predicted model, not a curated record.